UCUAAAUAACAAAAAUUAGCAGGAUAAAUAUAAACCUAAGUUUUAGGGGAAAUUAACCAGGGAGGAAAUUAAAACCUUCAAUUGGACAAUAAUGGAGAAGUUAAAGGAGAAGGAGAAGGAGAGAGUAGGUAGCCAUCACUAUGCCGCCACGGCGCCACCACUAUGCCGCCAUUAUUGCUAGGGUUAGAGGGAGUCGAGAGAGAGGGGAAAGAGGUGUGAGAGGGUUGACCUGAGUUAGGGGAAAGAGAGGCGAAAGAGAGAGGAAAGAGAGGCGAAAGAGAGGGGAAAGAGGCGAAGCAGACCUUGGGAUGCGCCGAUCUAGGGGUAUCGCGGGCGAUCUAGUGAGGGGAAAGAACGAUCAGGCAGAUCAUUUUUUCAUUUCUUUUCUCUGCUUCACCUCUAAUUUCUU
Molecule: long non-coding RNA, 409 nt
Filed under: Panax ginseng (ginseng)
Lineage: Eukaryota; Viridiplantae; Streptophyta; Magnoliopsida; Apiales; Araliaceae
Description: long non-coding RNA (PGIN_LNC015925)
Source: RNAcentral